RNAcentral lists this ribosomal RNA (554 nucleotides) under uncultured bacterium. RNAcentral's name for it is "partial 16S ribosomal RNA". It matches the Rfam family "Bacterial small subunit ribosomal RNA", at positions 340 to 914 of the family's 1533-position model. The record is from RNAcentral.
UACGGGAGGCAGCAGUGGGGAAUAUUGGACAAUGGGGGCAACCCUGAUCCAGCCAUGCCGCGUGAGUGAAGAAGGCCNUAGGGUUGUAAAGCUCUUUCGCCAGGGAAGAUAGUGACGGUACCUGGUAAAGAAGUCCCGGCUANNNNNGNGNCAGCAGCCGCGGUAAUACGGAGGGGACUAGCGUUGUUCGGAAUUACUGGGCGUAAAGAGUACGUAGGCGGCUUGCCAAGUUGGGUGUGAAAGCCCGGGGCUCAACCCCGGAACUGCAUUCAAAACUGGNUGGCUAGAGAUCGGAAGAGGUAAGUGGAAUUCCCAGNGUAGANNNNAAAUUCGNNCNNNNGGGANCAGGCNNGNNUACGGGAGGCAGCAGGCUACACAUAUAUUGACGCUGAGGCACGAAAGCGUGGGGAUCAAACAGGAUUAGAUACCCUGGUAGUCCACGCCCUAAACGAUGGAUACUCGACAUACGCGAUACACUGUGUGUGUCUGAGCGAAAGCAUUAAGUAUCCCACCUGGGAAGUACGACCGCAAGGUUGAAACUCAAAUGAAUUGAC